CAGUAGCCACGGGAAUACGAAGGGGGCUAGCGUUGUUCGGAUUUACUGGGCGUAAAGCGCACGUAGGCGGAUCGAUCAGUCAGGGGUGAAAUCCCAGAGCUCAACUCUGGAACUGCCUUUGAUACUGUCGAUCUGGAGUAUGGAAGAGGUGAGUGGAAUUCCGAGCGUAGAGGUGAAAUUCGUAGAUAUUCGGAAGAACACCAGUGGCGAAGGCGGCUUACUGGCUCAUUCUAGACGCUGAGGUGCGAAAGCGUGGGGAGCAAACAGGAUUAGAUACCCCCGUAGUCCCUGUCUCUUAUAC
This 301-nucleotide ribosomal RNA is filed under the name uncultured bacterium. RNAcentral describes it as "partial 16S ribosomal RNA". It matches the Rfam family "Bacterial small subunit ribosomal RNA", at positions 509 to 807 of the family's 1533-position model. The record is from RNAcentral.